RNAcentral lists this ribosomal RNA (252 nucleotides) under uncultured bacterium. RNAcentral's name for it is "partial 16S ribosomal RNA". It matches the Rfam family "Bacterial small subunit ribosomal RNA", at positions 524 to 776 of the family's 1533-position model. The record is from RNAcentral.
UACAGGGGGGCAAGCGUUGUUCGGAAUUACUGGGCGUAAAGGGCUCGUAGGUGGUCAACUAAGUCGGACGUGAAAUCCCUCGGCUUAACCGGGGAACUGCGUCCGAUACUGGAUGACUUGAGUUCGGGAGAGGGAUGCGGAAUUCCAGGUGUAGCGGUGAAAUGCGUAGAUAUCUGGAGGAACACCGGUGGCGAAGGCGGCAUCCUGGACCGACACUGACGCUGAGGAGCGAAAGCCAGGGGAGCAAACGGG